This is a long non-coding RNA of Halichondria panicea, 808 nucleotides long. RefSeq lists it as uncharacterized. The record is from RefSeq and is a predicted model, not a curated record. The transcript has 3 exons. NCBI's taxonomy places the organism in Eukaryota, Metazoa, Porifera, Demospongiae, Suberitida, Halichondriidae.
ACCCGCCCAUUUCCGGUGUCGUUUCCUGUCACCUGAGUGCUAGGCCAAGGGCUAGGGAGGUCUAUUAUAGUACCUUAGUAGAUGUAAGAUUAUGUCUAGCUAUAGCUAUGGCUCCAGUGCAGUGAUAGUAAGAUCAAGAAGUUAAACAAAAGCUGGUUGCAUCGGUCACGAUUGAUAUUCAUUAAAGCAAGUGAACCCAAUCUCGAUUUCCGACAUGGUAGCACGUCGGGCUGUCUUAAUAAGUUUUUAGUUGGCUGAAACUCCUCUCGCUCUCACAAGAUGUAAUAGGAAGUGUCAGAGCCAAUGUCAACAGAAGAUUCACAUUUGGAUAUGUCAUCACAUGGCACUCUCUCAAGGCAGCUCCUUAUUUAUAUGAUUUGGAUUUUUAUUUAUUGUGAAACCGUACUUGCUUUACUCUUUUUGAAGAAUGUUGAAAUUGGCACUUGACUUGGUCUCUUCCUGUUACUCAUUGUUGUAUAAUAAGUAAGUCUGGUUGAACAUAAUUACCACAAUCAAAGCUGCAUGACCACUGGACACAUGGAUGUGGCCCAUCUUGUAUCCAAUUAAUUACUGCUUACUAUGCAGUUUUUGCAACGCGAUCAGUUGAAAAAGAGUAAAGAACCUGCCACUGCUUUUAGCUAAGUUCUGUUCCUUCUAGAGUGGACUACAUGCAGAUGGUCCACCAUGGAGAGAGUCUAAUCUGUGAGGGUUAGACAUGAUAGUUUAAUGGAGAACCAAUGACAAAAGAUACAUUCUGUAGCACUUUAGAGAGGUUCAUACAUGCAUGUAUGUAACGUAACAGGAUCUA